CUUGCUGUAAUAAGCAGAAAAUUUGGGUUUCACCUGGAUAAUGUUGUGUACCAUGGUAGUGCUUUUCUCCUGCUUCACGUUCUUUUUAUCUGCUGAAAUUUUUUUUAUAGUUGAAAAUACAGUUUCCAGUUUAUAUUGUUUACUUUUUGUUCCAACAUGUAUAACGAAUGUUUUAUCUUUAAUAAAGUAUACAGUUGUCAUGUGAGCAUGAAUUAAAGUGAAGUGGGUUACAAGGUAGCAUGACUGUGCCGUUUCCUUUGUUUCCUACUUUGCGGAUCUGUAAAAUUUCCUGGUACUGAUUUUUUGUUUUUAUCAAAGCAUGGCCUUUUAUAUUCAUGCAAUAUAGUUGCCCAAGAUGAUGAGUAGAAUUAGUCAAAAAAUUCUUUCCUGUGAACUCAGUCUUGAAACAUUGAGAUGGAAGAUCAGUCUGGUUCCAGCUAUCAGUAGAACUCUGUAAAUGAUUUAUUUUGUAAUUAAUGUAGAGUACAGAGGUUUUUGCAUAAUGCUGGCAUAGUAAUCAGUGUCAUGCAAUGGUUGGGUAAGUGUUUUACAAGCGCAUAUGUAUGUGGUUUUGCAGUUGUAGCCCAUCACUCUGAAGCUGUUUCAGACCUGCUGUGCAAACAAACUGAAACAAAAUACUUAAAUUUCCAGUCUCCAGCUGUUCUCCCCAGAGCAGGCUGUGUACUAAUCAUGGUAAGGCCAUAGCUAGAUCUUCUGAGGAAUUUUUUUGAUGUCCUGAAAAUAAUGGGAUCAAUUUUAUUCUCGUUGUGUGGAUGUAUGCACAGGGCAGGAGCACAACAGAAGUGCACAGAAAAGGGACAAAGGAAGCCCAUCAGCCUGAGGACUGGUUGCAAUGUGACCCUGAGAAAGAGAUACUUGAAACUGUGAGUCAAGAAAUGGUCUCCUGUUGUUUGCAUCCUAUUGUGCUCAGGGAAACUGCAUGAUAUACAUGGUUUCUAAAUCAAUAGGAUUGCACUGAGUGAAUGCCUAUCAACGAUUUAAGGCAUGCCAUACCAGACAUCAAAACCCAGCUAAUUAUUUCUACCUAUUACUGACAAAGUUUUUUAGCAGUGUCAUAGGAAGUUCUCAGUGGAAGCAAAUGACAGUGCAUUCAUGGAACUCAACUAAAACUACAUGGCAAAUAUACUUUUCAGUCUGGAGCUCCAUCUGAAAACUAUGUAUUUCUAGUAGCAUUGAGUAUUUUUGUUGUUUUGUGUUUUCUAAACACAUCAAAACCUUGAUAGUUACAGAAUCGUAUAGAAAAGCCUAGGCUGGAAUGGAGCUCUGGAGAUCAUCUGCUCCUGUUGAAAGCAGGACUUUAGAUGAGAUGACCAGGGGCCAUCAAGCCCAGUGAUUUCCAGGGAGUUCUCCUACUUUUCUGAGCAACCUGUUCAAAGUUUGGUUGCUGUCGCAUUGAAGAAUUUCUUGGUAUACCUGGAUGGGUUUUCCCUGACUGAGAUUGUGCUUACUGCCUCUUUUCUCUGGCAUCUUUCUGAAGAGAAUCUCAGUAACAACCAUUGGAAGACUGUGUUCACCCCUUAGCUGUUUCUUUUCCAUGCUGAAGAAACCGAUUUUUCCAACCUUUCUUCAUCUGUCAUGUUCUCCAGUCCUUUGAUCAUCCUGAUGGCCCUCUGCUAGGGCCUCUCCAAUUUUUAAAUGCCUCUUUUGAGCUAGAAGGACCAGAACUGGACAUAGUAUUACAGAUGUGGCCUAAUAAGUGCUGAGGAGAUGGAAUUGCCAUGUCCUUUAGUCUGCUGGCUGCAGACUUAUUGAGGCAGCCCACACCACCAUCUGCUUUCAUGGCUGCAGGGUGGCUCAUGUAAAGCUGGCAAUCUAUGGGAGAAAGCCCUUAAUAGCUACAGUGAUCCACUGAUACUCCUGGGUCCACUUGAUAAUGCUGUUUCAUUUUUGACUACAUAUAAUGAAAGCAAAGCACAGAAGUCCACUAAGCUUCAGGAAGAAAAUGGGAGGUCCUGUCCUUAUUUUACCCUAAAGCCCAAUGACUUCAGCACUCACCCACAGUAUGGGAGAUGUGGAUUCGGCUCUUUCCUUCUUCUGAAGAGUUGGGCCGCGGUUGCUCAUAACCUUGAGUGGUGCCCUUGGGAGGAAGCUGUAACAAGCCACAACAUAUCUGGGGUUCCUUGAAGCUCCCCUGUCGCUACGGUGAUAUUUUUGUUUUGUAUACUUUUGAUGUUUUGUAGACUAGGAGCUACUGGUGUCAUACCUCCUCAGGGAUUAUUUAUCCUAUGUGUAGUCUCUUCUCUUCUUGUUCUGUUCUUCUUGUUCUUAGUUUGGAAAUACAGAAGUCCAGAGAAAUUCCCUCAAACUUUAGAAAAAAUACUGUUUGCCCAGCUCCAGAGUGAUCCUUACGACAUACUAGGUCUUUGUGCAUGGUUUCUUUCCUUUUAUGUGAAUGAACUUGCUUGGAAUUAAGUUAUUAGUCAUGACUUGAAUGGCUCCAUCUUGGUAGUGCUGGUGAGUAAGUAGGAGGUACAUUAAUUUUAUUUUUUAAGAAAGUGUACUUAUCAUAAUGUACUUUGCUUUGAACAUGAUGAUACUUGUUCCUUUUUAUUCUUUUUGUACCUCAUAUGGCUUUACCUAUGCAGUAUAGUAACUUCUGGUGGGAUAGGAAAUCCAUUUGUUUUAUUUUAGAGGAGCCAGGAGAUAUCUGAAAAUAUUUUCUAGUAUCACAGUUUUUUAACAAAAGCUACUUGGGUAUAAUAUUUGAUGUACUGGGUAAUAAAAAGUUGAUCAAUAUUCAUUGCUACUCUUGUUUUAUUUUGGAGUCCAGGUGCCAGAAUGAGAAGAAAACCUAAACAAACCAAAACCACCAACUUUAACAAUGGCACUUUACUUACACAAUAAGAGUUGUGCAGUUGACUUCUCAACAUUAUGUUGCACUUGCAGAUAUCAAAGAAUGAAAAAAAAAGGGUAAUUUUAAUUUAAAUGGUAUGUUAAAGAGAAAUAAUAUUGCCAUAGAUAAUAUCAAAAAAUAAUAAUUACUUCCAAACUUCGUAUGAUUAAAACGAAUUUGGAAUUUCUAAUGUAGCACGAAGAUUGCACAAAUUUCAAUGCACUUUACUAACAACAAAGCCGAACAUGUGACUGGUAGGCUUUUGUUACAGGCACGCAGGGGACAUAUUCUGUUGCGAUAGAGAGCACUGCUUUCUAGAACUUGUCCACAAUGCGUGAGGACAAGAUGCAUUACCAUCAGUAAAUCCAGAAUGAAGAAUCCUUCUGAACAUCAUUAGGAAAAAGAGUGCCUUAAAUUUUCUGAAGAUCUAAUUUCAGGAAAAUCUCAAGGAUAUUGUAAGAUGGAAAUGUCUGCAUGGAACAGGAGAUGAAUCAGUGUUGGACUUUCUGAUGCACUGGUAGCAAAAAACUCGUAGGUACUGUGGUACCCUCCACUUUAUGGAAACAGAUUCAGCACCAGGUGGUAUGUGAAACAUAAAAUCGACUGGUUCAUCAGAACAACUUGUUUCCCUAACUGAGUGCUAAAAUGGUAAGUUUUAAUGGAAAAUGGGACUUCUCAAGGAAGUCCUGCUGGGUGUUCUAAAGGCUACACUUUAAUGAGCACACAAGUAAGUUACCUUGGAGAGAAAUGCUAGCCUAAGAAAGAAGGCACAAAGGUGAUAAUUAAACAAGAAAUCGAUAUGUUAAGUAUGGAAAAGGGGGACAUAACUGGGAAUGAAAUUGAAUCUACAAAAUGUAAAUUAGUACUGGAGAAGAUAAAGGUAAUAAGGAAUUAUUACUGGCCAGCAGAGCUUGAGACAAUAAGAAGGCAUUACAAAUGUAUUAGGAACAAAAGUAUAGAUUUCAGUCUUGCAGAAAAAGACAGAACAGAUCCAAUAGCUGGAAAUCAAAGCUUGCAAAAUUCAAUCACUAUAAAGAUAGAGUGGGGGUGAUUAUACACAAGAAUAAUUUCCCAGUGUAGGUAGGUGGUAAACUUACCAUUGCUAGGAAUUUAAUCCAAUUGGAUAUACUUUAAACUGACUCUGGGAACAGGUUUGUGAAUAUUUCUCUGGAUGUACAUGGAGGUAAUUUCUUCUGUGCAAUCUGUAUAUCUGCACAUUUAAAUUUGUUCUUUGUUGCUUCCUUCUCCAUAAGCUGUGGAGGAGAACAGAAAAAGCUCUCAUUGCCCUCAACGUGUUCCACAUGCUCAGCUCUGUGUUAAGAUGAUGACUAAAAAAAACCCAAGAAGUCUUGUGCUUCAGGGCUACAGCUGGCUACUUGCAGAAGAUACCAUUGAUUGGCCUAAUGACUGGGAAUGACCCAGCAUGUGCUGUUCUGGAGAUGCAUGCAUGCAAGGUGACCAGCCUCUCUGGUUAACAGCUGCUACCAGCUGAACCUAGUCGACUGCCCUUCUCUGCUAGCAACAAAAUUACAGGCUUUGGGAGCUGCCUUCCGUGAUGUGCUGAAUGUUGUACAGGCACGUGAGGAAUUUACUUGUGAAAACCUCCAACAGCCUUAUGCCAAGUCCUUCUAAGCUAACAAGUGAUCCAGUACACUUUCACUUCAAAGAGGGAUGAAGCUUGCCUCCUAAAGUCAGAGUGCUCCGGAUUAUCUCAUUAUCUGAUGGUGGAACAGCUCCAUGAAGAGAGAUCAUAAGUCAUGCUUCCUAGGCUAGUUGAGAGCCUGUGGGGCAGAACAUGCAUUUUGGUAAUGAGAUAGUAUCACCAUCAGGUCUUAAAUAGGAGUCUUCACCACCACACUACUUGCUAUUAAGGCUGUGGUCUGUUUGGUGUUUUCCUGGACAUAUUAAAUCUUUUCCCAACAAGGUAUUCUCAAGAACUAGUAUGGUCUUGAUGAUACAGUGUAUUUGACAGCAUUUCAAGAUUUGUUUAGAAAAAAGAAAAGAAAACCUCAAUUAACUCUGGGCUAUUUCAGGAAUAUAUCACACAUUGCCAUUCUAAAUAAAUUUCAUAGGCUCUAAGUGUCCUGUAGUCACCAUCAUAAUUCUGUUAUCCAUUUGAAAAUUAUGCUUCAAAAGGCAUGAAAUAGGCUUAAAAAUGAAAGAAGUUACCUAAUUUUCAUGUGUUUACUGUUCUUGACCAUACAAUUGUAUCACAUUUUUAAGCUUUUACAGCCAUGAUAGCUUGAAAUGUACGGGAUUUUUGUUAAUGAAAGGUGGGAUUUUCUUCUAUUCCCUUGUCUCUUGGAAUUGUGACUCUAAGCUAGCAUGAUGGCUCAUUAGAAUAUUAAGAGAGAUAGUGAUAUUCUUCAAAAGAAAGCAGUGCCAAAUGAUGCAUAGAGGUCUCUUGAUGCUACACUUGUCAUGGUGUCAUUGGUGGGAAG
Long non-coding RNA from Cuculus canorus (common cuckoo), 5295 nucleotides. RefSeq lists it as uncharacterized. The record is from RefSeq and is a predicted model, not a curated record. The transcript has 4 exons. Lineage: Eukaryota; Metazoa; Chordata; Aves; Cuculiformes; Cuculidae.